UAAUACGUAGGUGGCAAGCGUUGUCCGGAUUUAUUGGGCGUAAAGCGCGCGCAGGUGGUCCUUUAAGUCUGAUGUGAAAUCUUGCGGCUCAACCGCAAGCGGUCAUUGGAAACUGGGGGACUUGAGUGCAGAAGAGGAAAGCGGAAUUCCACGUGUAGCGGUGAAAUGCGUAGAGAUGUGGAGGAACACCAGUGGCGAAGGCGGCUUUCUGGUCUGUAACUGACGCUGAGGCGCGAAAGCGUGGGGAGCAAACAGGAUUAGAUACCCUGGUAGUCCACGCCGUAAACGAUGAGUGCUAAGUGUUGGAGGGUUUCCACCCUUCAGUGCUGCAGCUAACGCAUUAAGCACUCCGCCUGGGGAGUACGGUCGCAAGACUGAA
Molecule: ribosomal RNA, 379 nt
Filed under: uncultured bacterium
Lineage: Bacteria
Description: bacterial SSU rRNA
Rfam family: Bacterial small subunit ribosomal RNA
Source: RNAcentral